RNAcentral lists this transfer RNA (87 nucleotides) under Alcanivorax sp. N3-2A. RNAcentral's name for it is "tRNA-Leu". It matches the Rfam family "tRNA". From Rfam's summary of the family: Transfer RNA (tRNA) molecules are approximately 80 nucleotides in length. Their secondary structure includes four short double-helical elements and three loops (D, anti-codon, and T loops). Further hydrogen bonds mediate the characteristic L-shaped molecular structure. tRNAs have two regions of fundamental functional importance: the anti-codon, which is responsible for specific mRNA codon recognition, and the 3' end, to which the tRNAs corresponding amino acid is attached (by aminoacyl-tRNA synthetases). tRNAs cope with the degeneracy of the genetic code in two manners: having more than one tRNA (with a specific anti-codon) for a particular amino acid; and 'wobble' base-pairing, i.e. permitting non-standard base-pairing at the 3rd anti-codon position. Lineage: Bacteria; Pseudomonadati; Pseudomonadota; Gammaproteobacteria; Oceanospirillales; Alcanivoracaceae. The record is from RNAcentral.
GCCCGGGUGGCGAAAUUGGUAGACGCAACGGACUUAAAAUCCGUUGACCUUUGGGUCGUGCGGGUUCAAGUCCCGCCCCGGGCACCA